AGCAGUUGUGAGCCAAUCAAAACAGAAAUGUUCUGACACAUUUGAGAGUAUCUUGUUUUACAGAGUGCUUUAAAGAGGCAUGAACAGCACACAAGCUUUCAAACAAACCAAAUUAUCCAGAAAGGAUUUUGGAACUGGUUCCUAUGAGGGAAGAGCGCUGAGUGUCUCUGAGGACCUGCCUCAUGGCUUAGAGUCUCGGGGAAAUUCCCUGGCUGGAUUUUUCCUGUCGAGUCACUCAGGUCGAUCUCGGCUGUGCCUGCGAUGACCAGUUCUAGCUCUCUUGCAUCGAAAACAGACACCAGCCUGGCAUCC
Molecule: long non-coding RNA, 312 nt
Organism: Neogale vison (American mink)
Lineage: Eukaryota; Metazoa; Chordata; Mammalia; Carnivora; Mustelidae
Exons: 3
Source: RefSeq, a predicted model, not a curated record